CUUUUUUUAUACUGAGCGUAUUGGAACGUUAUCGAUAAGAAGAGAGCGUCUAGGCGAACAAUGUUCUUAAAGUUUGACCUCAAAUCAGGUAGGAGUACCCGCUGAACUUAAGCAUAUCAAUAAGCGGAGGAAAAGAAACAACCGGGAUUGCCUUAGUAACGGCGAGUGAAGCGGCAAAAGCUCAAAUUUGAAAUCUGGUACCUUCGGUGCCCGAGUUGUAAUUUGGAGAGGGCAACUUUGGGGCCGUUCCUUGUCUAUGUUCCUUGGAACAGGACGUCAUAGAGGGUGAGAAUCCCGUGUGGCGAGGAGUGCGGUUCUUUGUAAAGUGCCUUCGAAGAGUCGAGUUGUUUGGGAAUGCAGCUCUAAGUGGGUGGUAAAUUCCAUCUAAAGCUAAAUAUUGGCGAGAGACCGAUAGCGAACAAGUACAGUGAUGGAAAGAUGAAAAGAACUUUGAAAAGAGAGUGAAAAAGUACGUGAAAUUGUUGAAAGGGAAGGGCAUUUGAUCAGACAUGGUGUUUUGUGCCCUCUGCUCCUUGUGGGUAGGGGAAUCUCGCAUUUCACUGGGCCAGCAUCAGUUUUGGUGGCAGGAUAAAUCCAUAGGAAUGUAGCUUGCCUCGGUAAGUAUUAUAGCCUGUGGGAAUACUGCCAGCUGGGACUGAGGACUGCGACGUAAGUCAAGGAUGCUGGCAUAAUGGUUAUAUGCCGCGGGCUUGAAACACGGACCAAGGAGUCUAACGUCUAUGCGAGUGUUUGGGUGUAAAACCCAUACGCGUAAUG
RNAcentral lists this ribosomal RNA (777 nucleotides) under Saccharomyces cf. cerevisiae/paradoxus. RNAcentral describes it as "LSU rRNA". It matches the Rfam family "Eukaryotic large subunit ribosomal RNA", at positions 1 to 721 of the family's 3401-position model. The record is from RNAcentral. Lineage: Eukaryota; Fungi; Ascomycota; Saccharomycetes; Saccharomycetales; Saccharomycetaceae.